Suricata suricatta (meerkat) is the source of this 99-nucleotide small nucleolar RNA. The record is from Ensembl. NCBI's taxonomy places the organism in Eukaryota, Metazoa, Chordata, Mammalia, Carnivora, Herpestidae.
GUGUUGUACCUGGGUCAGGGUGCAACGCCAGAGUAUGCGCUUGCGCAUAACUGGGGCCGCCAGCUGCUCCGCGGUGGGCCUUUUUUACCGCGAGCACGG